Non-coding RNA from Pelobates cultripes (western spadefoot toad), 693 nucleotides. The record is from the annotation of a GenBank genome assembly. Lineage: Eukaryota; Metazoa; Chordata; Amphibia; Anura; Pelobatidae.
GUCCCCACGGGUGACAGCCGCACAAACCGCAAGGCCCAAGCACCAGCCCAGCAGUGAAGUGCGGUAUUAAGAUGGCCGACAACACGCAGCCACGUGCGUAAUGGCGGGGCGAGAUGACCACAACAGGGUGCCCGUGCCACAGACCCAGGUAACAUCCCUGGAUUCCCUCCAGGAUACACCAGCAGCCCCCCUUGAAUAGCUUCAGAUGUGCUGAGCUACUUAUGACACUCUGAGACUUACCUGCCACCACUCCGCAUUUGGGAGAGCAUGUCUGGCAACCACACAGGCUUAGCCAUAUCCGGCAAGAAGCAACACCGGGUAAAUCUACAAACAACAUGCUUCUGGCACAACCACCCACACGGUAUCAUCAGAACGCAAGCCUCUGCCAGACGUGGGAACCGGCACCAUGUACAUCAGGCCCUGGAACCCGUGGAACACCACAGCCUCAAGACCAACACGACAUAAGGCAUAUAUGACUUUCUUGUACUAUACAAAAAGCUGGCUGCCUAGCUUAGGAGAACCACUUGUAGUUGUAAAAGCUAUAUACUUAUGAAAGGAAAUGUCAUAUUCAACGAGAUAAAAUACACAUACCCAUUUAGUGCAGCUACUGGUGUAUGUCGCAGCUUGCACGGUCUGUGUACACGUGGGCUUCACUACAGCUUCGAUAUAUCUCUCUGUUCAUUCCAGAUAAUC